RNAcentral lists this transfer RNA (74 nucleotides) under Nocardioidaceae bacterium. Its description in RNAcentral is "tRNA-Arg". It matches the Rfam family "tRNA". Rfam says of the family: Transfer RNA (tRNA) molecules are approximately 80 nucleotides in length. Their secondary structure includes four short double-helical elements and three loops (D, anti-codon, and T loops). Further hydrogen bonds mediate the characteristic L-shaped molecular structure. tRNAs have two regions of fundamental functional importance: the anti-codon, which is responsible for specific mRNA codon recognition, and the 3' end, to which the tRNAs corresponding amino acid is attached (by aminoacyl-tRNA synthetases). tRNAs cope with the degeneracy of the genetic code in two manners: having more than one tRNA (with a specific anti-codon) for a particular amino acid; and 'wobble' base-pairing, i.e. permitting non-standard base-pairing at the 3rd anti-codon position. The record is from RNAcentral. RNAcentral also lists the same sequence under 5 other names. Lineage: Bacteria; Bacillati; Actinomycetota; Actinomycetes; Propionibacteriales; Nocardioidaceae.
GCCCCGAUAGCUCAGCCGGAUAGAGCGACUCCCUCCUAAGGAGUAGGCCGCAGGUUCGAAUCCUGCUCGGGGCG